RNAcentral lists this ribosomal RNA (671 nucleotides) under uncultured bacterium. RNAcentral's name for it is "bacterial SSU rRNA". The stretch from base 2 to 533 matches the Rfam family "Bacterial small subunit ribosomal RNA", at positions 9 to 546 of the family's 1533-position model. The record is from RNAcentral.
AGAGUUUGAUCCUGGCUCAGGGUGAACGCUGGCGGCGUGCUUGACACAUGCAAGUCGAACGGUAUGUGGCAACACAUAGAGUUGCGAACGGGUGAGUAACACGUGGGAACGUAUCUUUUGCAGGGGGAUAACUGACCGAAAGGACAGCUAAUACCGCAUAAGUCCGAGAGGAGAAAGGUGCAAAAGCAUCGGCAGAAGAGCGGCCCGCGGUCCAUCAGCUAGUUGGUGAGGUAAGGGCUUACCAAGGCGACGACGGAUAGCCGGCGUGAGAGCGUGGCCGGCCACAAGGACACUGAGAUACGGGUCCUACUCCUACGGGAGGCAGCAGUGCGGAAUUUUAGAUAAUGGAGGGAACUCUGAUCUAGCGACGCCGCGUGCAGGAAGAAGGUCUUCGGAUUGUAAACUGCUGUGGUAAGGGAAAAAUGCUAUGUAGAGUGGAAAGCUACAUAGAGGGAUGGUACCUUACUAGAAAGCCCCGGCUAACUACGUGCCAGCAGCCGCGGUAAUUACCGCGGCUGCUGGCACAGCUACUCCCCAUUGUGAUCCUGCUGCCCCUGCUGGGGCUGGGCCUUACCAAAAUAUUGGAAAGUCGAGUCAUCUACCCGGCACUGGCAAAUGAACUGAUUGGCUAGGGUCAUCUGGUAGCACGUCUGAGCCAGGAUCAAACUCUA